AAUUGUACCAAUCUCAAUCUGACGAUGGACUCGCAAGGCCCAGGGGGAAACGUCCGCAUGAACCUUAAAGUAUUCAUGAUUUAUGAUUUACAAGUUCUAGUGGACUUACCCCAGUUGAUUCUUCAAGGGUCAGCUCACACUUUAAAGUAUAUGCGGAUUGAUACAUGUCCUAGCCUCCAAGAAUUACCAGCAUGGCUUACAACACUCACAUCACUUAAAAAACUUGAGAUUGCAAGCUGCCCAGCGCUGUCAUAUUUACCCAACGGGAUGGGGAACCUCACUGCACUCAGAGAAUUGACGAUACAAAAUUCUCACCCUGAGUGCAAGCUGCAGAAACAACAGGAGAAACAUUCCCCCUGCCACGGAGAUUCCUCUUUCUCCAUAAUCAGUGAAGCCAUCAAAGAAAUAAAACUAAUGUGCUACCAAUUUGGGUACUGAUAACGCUAUGAUAAGCAGCCUUGUCGAACUCUUGAGCAAGGGCAAGUUUCAACUAAUACUCAUGCUAAAUGUGAUGCUUCUUUUUUUAUCAUUGUGCUCCUGAAUAAGUAUCUAUGGUAGUAUUGGUCACUCUCGUUAAAUCUCAAAGGGACAAAUAGAAUUUCCUCUAUUUUAUGCUUGAUUGAUGUUCAAUAAUGUUUCGCCUGGACAAGCUUUAUUUAGAAUGUUUCGC
Mangifera indica (mango) is the source of this 670-nucleotide long non-coding RNA. RefSeq lists it as uncharacterized. The record is from RefSeq and is a predicted model, not a curated record. The transcript has 3 exons. NCBI's taxonomy places the organism in Eukaryota, Viridiplantae, Streptophyta, Magnoliopsida, Sapindales, Anacardiaceae.